Molecule: ribosomal RNA, 2378 nt
Filed under: Genlisea aurea
Lineage: Eukaryota; Viridiplantae; Streptophyta; Magnoliopsida; Lamiales; Lentibulariaceae
Description: Bacterial large subunit ribosomal RNA
Rfam family: Bacterial large subunit ribosomal RNA
Source: Rfam by way of RNAcentral
AAUAAAAGAAAAAAAAGUAUUUGACGAAUAUCUUGCCAACUUUGAAAUGGUCGUUUAAUACGAAAUAUAUUUUGAAAAUAAUAAUAAUUUUUUUAAAAAUAUGUUACCAAAGAGGGAAACCUUAAGUAAAUUUUAGUUAAAAUUUAGUGAACUGAACCAUCUAAGUAACUAAAAAAAAUAAAUAAAAAUAGAUUCUGUAAGUAGUGGCGAACGAAAGCAAAUAAGCUAAAAUAAACUUUUUAUAUUUUUUUUUAAAAUGCUUUUGAAAAUGCAACAAAAAGAGUUUAAGUCUCGUAUAAAAAAAAAGUAAAGAGGUUUUGAGUAAAAUAAUUAAUUUUGUUUGAAUAUUGUAAUUCCAUUUACAAAAGUUAAAAUGAAAAGUUGAGCGAUAGUGAAAAAGUACUGUGAAGGAAAGAUGAAAAGAACUUUUAUAUAAAGAGUGAAAAAGAUUUUGAAAUCAAAUACUAAGGCAGCAAUUUAAGCAUUUUUUAGUGUGAAAGUGUACCUUUUGCAUAAUGGGUCAGUGAGUUAAUUAUUUUGGCAAAGUUAAUUUUUUUUUUAAAAAAAGCUAUAAUUAAUUUGUUUUAGUCAAAGUAAUUAUUACCCGAAACCAAGUGAUCUAGUCAUGAAUAGGUUGAAAUUAAUUAAAAAUUGAUGAAGGACCGAACCCGUACAUGUUGAAAAAUGUUGGGAUAAUUUGUGAUUAGGGGUGAAAGGCUAAUCAAACUUGGAAAUAGCUGGUUUUCUACGAAAUUUAUUUGAGUAAAGCUCAAAAAAUAAAAUUUAUUUCAUGUAGAGUACUACAUUAAAUUUUUAAAUUUAUGUAAACUUCGAAUGGAAAUAAAGUUUUUUUUGAAGACAGAUAAAAAGCGAUAAGGUUUUUUAUCAAAAGAGAAAGAGCUCUAAUUAUAAGUUAAGGUUUUUAAAUUACAUUUAAGUUAAAAAGAAUUUUUUUGGCAAAAAAAAAUAGGAGGUAAGCUUAGAGGCAGCUAUCCUUUAAAGAAAGCGUAACAGCUCACUGUUUUUAAUGUUUUUAAUUUUUCUAAAAUUCAACGAAAAUAAAAUGUAUACCGAAACUAUAAAACAUUUUUUGUUGGUAGUAGAACGUUCAAUAUAUUUUUAAUUUGUUAAAGUUUACAUUUGAAAUGAAUAUACUGGCAUAAGUAGCGUUAAUAAUGUUAAAAAACAUUAUCAUCUUAAGUUUAAGGUUUCUAAUGCACGGAUAAACCGCAUUAGGUUAGUCGGUCCUUUAGAUGCUUAUGAAAAUAAUAAUUGAUGGGUAACAGAUUUAUAUUUCUGUACUACUUGUAGGUGACAAAAAAUUUUAUUUGCAUUCUUGUUUAAAAAAAAGUUUGUAAUCUAAAUUUUUUCUAGAAAAAACACAAGUUAAAAAACCGUACUAAACCCGACACAGGUAAACUAGUGUAGUACACUAAGAUGUUUGGCAGAAUAAUACUGAAGGAACUCGGCAAAAUAACUCUGUAACUUCGGGAGAAAGAGUACUUAAUUAUUUUAUUGAAAUUUAUUAAGUGAAACAGAUUAGGGGAUGGCGACUGUUUAACAAAAACACAGGACUUUGCAAAAUUGAAAAAUGAUGUAUAAGGUCUGACACCUGCCCGGUGCUGUAAAAGUAAAGUUUUUUGUUUAUGCUCAAAAUGGAAAUAAUAGUAAACGGCAGCUGUAAAUAUAACGGUUCGAAGGUAGCGAAAUUCCUUGUCGAGUAAGUUUCGACCUUGCAUGAAUGGUGUAACGACUAUCCCACUGUCUCCAGUAUUAAGUCAGCGAAAUUGAAUUCUCUGUGCAGAUGCAGAGUAUUAGCGGCUAGACGGAAAGACCCUAUGCACCUUUACUGCAUAUAUACUUUGUUAAAAAUUUUUUGAUUAAUAGGAUACAAAAUAGUUGUUUAACACCUUAAUUUAUGUUAAUUGUUUAGACAAUCUUGGAAUAUUUUGAUUCAAAAAAUUUCAGCUUAAGAAUUUUAAAUAGUAUAUUUGGUAGUUUCUCUGGGGCGGAGACCUCAUAAAAAGUAACUGAGGUGUACAAAGGCAUUUGAAGUUUUUAAAUAAACUUUUGGCGCGCAAUGGCUAAAAUAUGCUUGACAGAAAGACAGACAAGUCAAUCUGAGAUUUAAAAAGUCGGUCAUAGUGAUCCAAUAUUUUUACAUGGUAAAGGUAUUGCUCAACGGAUAAAAGGUACGCUAGGGAUAACAGGCUUAUGACUCCUGAGAGAUGAUAUCGACGGAGUCGUUUGGCACCUCGAUGUCGAUUGGUCACAUCCUGGUUAGGAAAAAAGUUCCAAGGGUAAGGCUGUUCGCCUUUUAAAGUGGCACCUGAAUUGGGUUCAGAACGUCGUGAGACAGUUCGGUUCCUAUCUACCGU